UUUUGGACAAUGGGCGCAAGCCUGAUCCAGCCAUUCCGCGUGAGUGAAGAAGGCCUUCGGGUUGUAAAGCUCUUUCGCAAGGGAAGAAAACUUACUUUUUAAUAAAGAGUGAGGUUGACGGUACCUUGAUAAGAAGCACCGGCUAACUACGUGCCAGCAGCCGCGGUAAUACGUAGGGUGCGAGCGUUAAUCGGAAUUACUGGGCGUAAAGCGUGCGCAGGCGGCUUUGUAAGUCAGAUGUGAAAUCCCCGAGCUCAACUUGGGAACUGCGUUUGAAACUACAAGGCUAGAAUAUGUCAGAGGGGGGUAGAAUUCCACGUGUAGCAGUGAAAUGCGUAGAGAUGUGGAGGAAUACCAAUGGCGAAGGCAGCCCCCUGGGAGUAAUAUUGACGCUCAUGCACGAA
This 404-nucleotide ribosomal RNA is filed under the name uncultured bacterium. Its description in RNAcentral is "bacterial SSU rRNA". It matches the Rfam family "Bacterial small subunit ribosomal RNA", at positions 362 to 757 of the family's 1533-position model. The record is from RNAcentral.